GGAAUUUUCCGCAAUGGGCGAAAGCCUGACGGAGCAAUGCCGCGUGAGUGAUGAAGGCCUUAGGGUUGUAAAGCUCUUUUACCCGGGAUGAUAAUGACAGUACCGGGAGAAUAAGCUCCGGCUAACUCCGUGCCAGCAGCCGCGGUAAUACGGAGGGAGCUAGCGUUAUUCGGAAUUACUGGGCGUAAAGCGCACGUAGGCGGCUUUGUAAGUAAGAGGUGAAAGCCCAGAGCUCAACUCUGGAAUUGCCUUUUAGACUGCAUCGCUUGAAUCAUGGAGAGGUCAGUGGAAUUCCGAGUGUAGAGGUGAAAUUCGUAGAUAUUCGGAAGAACACCAGUGGCGAAGGCGGCUGACUGGACAUGUAUUGACGCAGGGGUGCGAAAGCGUGGGGAGCAAACAGGAUUAGAUACCCCUG
Molecule: ribosomal RNA, 415 nt
Filed under: uncultured Sphingomonas sp.
Lineage: Bacteria; Pseudomonadati; Pseudomonadota; Alphaproteobacteria; Sphingomonadales; Sphingomonadaceae
Description: bacterial SSU rRNA
Rfam family: Bacterial small subunit ribosomal RNA
Source: RNAcentral